GAUGAACGCUGGCGGCGUGCCUAAUACAUGCAAGUCGAGCGAACGGACGAGAAGCUUGCUUCUCUGAUGUUAGCGGCGGACGGGUGAGUAACACGUGGAUAACCUACCUAUAAGACUGGGAUAACUUCGGGAAACCGGAGCUAAUACCGGAUGAUAUUUUGAACCGCAUGGUUCAAAAGUGAAAGACGGUCUUGCUGUCACUUAUAGAUGGAUCCGCGCUGCAUUAGCUAGUUGGUAAGGUAACGGCUUACCAAGGCAACGAUGCAUAGCCGACCUGAGAGGGUGAUCGGCCACACUGGAACUGAGACACGGUCCAGACUCCUACGGGAGGCAGCAGUAGGGAAUCUUCCGCAGUGGGCGAAAGCCUGACGGAGCAACGCCGCGUGAGUGAUGAAGGUCUUCGGAUCGUAAAACUCUGUUAUUGGGAAGAACAUAUGUGUAAGUAACUGUGCACAUCUUGACGGUACCUAAUCAGAAAGCCACGGCUAACUACGUG
This 496-nucleotide ribosomal RNA is filed under the name uncultured bacterium. RNAcentral describes it as "partial 16S ribosomal RNA". It matches the Rfam family "Bacterial small subunit ribosomal RNA", at positions 28 to 507 of the family's 1533-position model. The record is from RNAcentral.